AUUGAACGCUGGCGGCAGGCUUAACACAUGCAAGUCGAGCGGGGUGAUGGUGCUUGCACUAUCACUUAGCGGCGGACGGGUGAGUAAUGCUUAGGAAUCUGCCUAUUAGUGGGGGACAACAUCUCGAAAGGGAUGCUAAUACCGCAUACGUCCUACGGGAGAAAGCAGGGGAUCACUUGUGACCUUGCGCUAAUAGAUGAGCCUAAGUCAGAUUAGCUAGUUGGUGGGGUAAAGGCCUACCAAGGCGACGAUCUGUAGCGGGUCUGAGAGGAUGAUCCGCCACACUGGGACUGAGACACGGCCCAGACUCCUACGGGAGGCAGCAGUGGGGAAUAUUGGACAAUGGGGGGAACCCUGAUCCAGCCAUGCCGCGUGUGUGAAGAAGGCCUUAUGGUUGUAAAGCACUUUAAGCGAGGAGGAGGCUCUUCUGGUUAACACCCAAGAUGAGUGGACGUUACUCGCAGAAUAAGCACCGGCUAACUCUGUGCCAGCCGCCGCAGUAA
This 503-nucleotide ribosomal RNA is filed under the name uncultured bacterium. Its description in RNAcentral is "partial 16S ribosomal RNA". It matches the Rfam family "Bacterial small subunit ribosomal RNA", at positions 30 to 523 of the family's 1533-position model. The record is from RNAcentral.